CGAACGGGUGAGUAACGCGUGAGGAACCUGCCUCAAAGAGGGGGACAACAGUUGGAAACGACUGCUAAUACCGCAUAAGCCCACGGCUCGGCAUCGAGCAGAGGGAAAAGGAGCAAUCCGCUUUGAGAUGGCCUCGCGUCCGAUUAGCUAGUUGGUGAGGUAACGGCCCACCAAGGCGACGAUGGAUAGGGGUUCUGAGAGGAAGGUCCCCCACAUUGGAACUGAGACACGGUCCAA
This 237-nucleotide ribosomal RNA is filed under the name uncultured bacterium. Its description in RNAcentral is "partial 16S ribosomal RNA". It matches the Rfam family "Bacterial small subunit ribosomal RNA", at positions 99 to 334 of the family's 1533-position model. The record is from RNAcentral.